UAUGUAGGCGAUAACAAACGAGCAAACACGACGACUUCUAUAUUUAAAAGUAAAUGUCAGAAAACUACACGGAAUAUUUUGAUUUCUCUUUUCAAACUUGGUUAAUUUAUUUCUAAAUAUCUGGUGCAGGCCUAAUAAUAAUAAUCGUAGGUAUUUAUAGGCUUUCAAAUUGUGAUAAUACGAUAACAUAAGUAAACACAGAUCCAAAAAUUGUAAUUGUUAACCCAUGAUUAAUAUUGAAAAAACCAGCAGCUGAAAAUUGUGGUUUUAAUUGAUUUGCUUGAUUAGCGUAUUCUUGCAAUUCAUGUUUUAGUGAAAUUUCAUUGUUUCCAAGAGUCUGGAUCAACGAAUAACAUAAUCGUGGUACUUUAGCGAUUUCCUUUUCGGCUUGACCGCAAACAUAAACUUACACAAGGGAAAAGCACCCAAAACACACAGAAAACCACAAAAGAACAACCAAAUGAUCGACCUGAAUGAACCGAAAUCCCGUGUACCAACAACAACGCCAUAUUAACCGGAACCAAAAUAUUCAGAAUCAUAUGACUGCAGAAACUCAAACAUAUAGGAUUCUUACGAGUGCAAGUACCCGAUGACUUGAUAAACCAAUUUUGACACUCCAUUACAUCAUUAACCAAAUGAUAAUUCAACUCUUUCAUUCGAUACGCAAUCAAUUGAGGAUAUCUUGUUAUAACAUCCAUGACAACAAUAAUGUGACUAUUUUGGAACUCCCUCCACAUAAAAUAUUUGUAGAUAUCCCAUCCAAUAUAAGAGAAGUAAACGUAAGCACUUAAACAUCCCAGUGCGAUACCCAGCAUUGUCCAAAUGUAAAACUCAA
Molecule: long non-coding RNA, 835 nt
Organism: Dalotia coriaria
Lineage: Eukaryota; Metazoa; Arthropoda; Insecta; Coleoptera; Staphylinidae
Exons: 3
Source: RefSeq, a predicted model, not a curated record